GAUGAACGCUAGCGGCAAGCCUAACACAUGCAAGUCGAACGGUAACUUUUGGUGCUUGCACCGAAAGACGAGUGGCGAACGGGUGCGUAACGCGUAUGCAAUCUGCCUUUUACUAGGGUAUAGCCCAGAGAAAUUUGGAUUAAUCCCCUAUAAUAUCAUUUAAUCGCAUGAUUUUAUGAUUAAAGCUUCGGCGGUAAAAGAUGAGCAUGCGUCCUAUUAGUUAGUAGGUGAGGUAACGGCUCACCUAGACUCCGAUAGGUAGGGGUCCUGAGAGGGAGAUCCCCCACACUGGUACUGAGACACGGACCAGACUCCUACGGGAGGCAGCAGUGAGGAAUAUUGGACAAUGGACGAAAGUCUGAUCCAGCUAUGCCGCGUGCAGGAUGACGGCCCUAUGGGUUGUAAACUGCUUUUAUACAGGAAGAAAAACUCCGACGUGUCGGAACUUGACGGUACUGUAAGAAUAAGGAUCGGCUAACUCCGUGCCAGCCGCCGCCGUAACAC
This 504-nucleotide ribosomal RNA is filed under the name uncultured bacterium. Its description in RNAcentral is "bacterial SSU rRNA". It matches the Rfam family "Bacterial small subunit ribosomal RNA", at positions 28 to 526 of the family's 1533-position model. The record is from RNAcentral.